CCUACGGGAGGCAGCAGUGGGGAAUCUUGGACAAUGGGGGCAACCCUGAUCCAGCCAUGCCGCGUGUGUGAAGAAGGCCUUCGGGUUGUAAAGCACUUUCAGCCAGGAGGAAAGGUUACCCCUUAAUACCUGCUGUAUGUGACGUUACCGGCAGAAGAAGCACCGGCUAAUUUCGUGCCAGCAGCCGCGGUAAUA
Molecule: ribosomal RNA, 195 nt
Filed under: uncultured Gammaproteobacteria bacterium
Lineage: Bacteria; Pseudomonadati; Pseudomonadota; Gammaproteobacteria
Description: partial 16S ribosomal RNA
Rfam family: Bacterial small subunit ribosomal RNA
Source: RNAcentral